ACUUGUCUGUGACUUACAGAGGGAGAGAUAGGAAGACUUGUCUGUGACUUACAGAGGGAGAGGUAGGAAGACUUGUCUGUGACUUACAGAGGGAGAGGUAGGAAGACUUGUCUGUGACUUACAGAGGGAGAGGUAGGAAGACUUGUCUGUGACUUACAGAGGGAGAGGUAGGAAGACUUGUCUGUGACUUACAGAGGGAGAGGUAGGAAGACUUGUCUGUGACUUACAGAGGGAGAGGUAGGAAGACUUGUCUGUGACUUACAGAGGGAGAGGUUGGAAGACUUGUCUGUGACCCACAGAGGGAGAGGUUUGAUGACUUGUCUGUGACUUACAGAGGGAGAGGUAGGAAGACUUGUCUGUGACUUACAGAGGGAGAGGUAGGAAGACUUGUCUGUGACUUACAGAGGGAGAGGUUGGAAGACUUGUCUGUGACUUACAGAGGGAGAGGUAGGAAAACUUGUCUGUGACUUACAGAGGGAGAGAUAGGAAGACUUGUCUGUGACUUACAGAGGGAGAGGUAGGAAGACUUGUCUGUGACUUACAGAGGGAGAGGUAGGAAGACUUGUCUGUGACUUACAGAGGGAGAGGUAGGAUGACUUGUCUGUGACUUACAGAGGGAGAGGUAGGAAGACUUGUCUGUGACUUAAAGAGGGAGAGGUUGGAAGACUUGUCUGUGACCUACAGAGGGAGAGGUUUGAUGACUUGUCUGUGACUUACAGAGGGAGAGGUAGGAAGACUUGUCUGUGACUUACAGAGGGAGAGGUAGGAAGACUUGUCUGUGACUUACAGAGGGAGAGGUUGGAAGACUUGUCUGUGACUUACAGAGGGAGAGGUAGGAAAACUUGUCUGUGACUUACAGAGGGAGAGAUAGGAAGACUUGUCUGUGACUUACAGAGGGAGAGGUAGGAUGACUUGUCUGUGACUUACAGAGGGAGAGGUAGGAAGACUUGUCUGUGACUUACAGAGGGAGAGGUAGGAAGACUUGUCUGUGACUUACAGAGGGAGAGGUAGGAAGACUUGUCUGUGACUUACAGAGGGAGAGGUAGGAAGACUUGUCUGUGACUUACAGAGGGAGAGGUUGGAAGACUUGUCUGUGACUUACAGAGGGAGAGGUUUGAUGACUUGUCUGUGACUUACAGAGGGAGAGGUAGGAAGACUUGUCUGUGACUUACAGAGGGAGAGGUAGGAAGACUUGUCUGUGACUUACAGAGGGAGAGGUAGGAAAACUUGUCUGUGACUUACAGAGGGAGAGAUAGGAAUACUUGUCUGUGACUUACAGAGGGAGAGGUAGGAAGACUUGUCUGUGACUUACAGAGGGAGAGGUAGGAUGACUUGUCUGUGACUUACAGAGGGAGAGGUAGGAAGACUUGUCUGUGACUUACAGAGGGAGAGGUAGGAAGACUUGUCUGUGACUUACAGAGGGAGAGGUAGGAAAACUUGUCUGUGACUUACAGAGGGAGAGAUAGGAAGACUUGUCUGUGACUUACAGAGGGAGAGGUAGGAAGACUUGUCUGUGACUUACAGAGGGAGAGGUAGGAUGACUUGUCUGUGACUUACAGAGGGAGAGGUAGGAAGACUUGUCUGUGACUUAAAGAGGGAGAGGUAGGAAGACUUGUCUGUGACUUAAAGAGGGAGAGGUAGGAAGACUUGUCUGUGACUUACAGAGGGAGAGGUAGGACGACUUGUCUGUGACUUACAGAGGGAGAGGUUGGAAGACUUGUCUGUGACCUACAGAGGGAGAGGUUUGAUGACUUGUCUGUGACUUACAGAGGGAGAGGUAGGAAGACUUGUCUGUGACUUACAGAGGGAGAGGUAGGAAGACUUGUCUGUGACUUACAGAGGGAGAGGUUGGAAGACUUGUCUGUGACUUACAGAGGGAGAGGUAGGAAAACUUGUCUGUGACUUACAGAGGGAGAGAUAGGAAGACUUGUCUGUGACUUACAGAGGGAGAGGUAGGAAUACUUGUCUGUGACUUACAGAGGGAGAAGUAGGAAGACUUGUCUGUGACUUACAGAGGGAGAGGUAGGAUGACUUGUCUGUGACUUACAGAGGGAGAGGUAGAAAGACUUGUCUGUGACUUACAGAGGGAGAGGUAGGAUGACUUGUCUGUGACUUACAGAGGGAGAGGUAGGAAGACUUGUCUGUGACUUACAGAGGGAGAGGUAGGAAGACUUGUCUGUGACUUACAGAGGGAGAGAUAGGAAGACUUGUCUGUGACUUACAGAGGGAGAGGUAGGAAGACUUGUCUGUGACUUACAGAGGGAGAGGUAGGAAGACUUGUCUGUGACUUACAGAGGGAGAGGUAGGAAGACUUGUCUGUGACUUACAGAGGGAGAGGUAGGAAGACUUGUCUGUGACUUACAGAGGGAGAGGUAGGAAGACUUGUCUGUGACUUACAGAGGGAGAGGUAGGGAAAACUUGUCUGUGACUUACAGAGGGAGAAAUAGGGAGACUUGUCUGUGACUUACAGAGGGAGAGGUAGGAAGACUUGUCUGUGACUUACAGAGGGAGAGGUAGGAAGACUUGUCUGUGACUUACAGAGGGAGAGGUAGGAAGACUUGUCUGUGACUUACAGAGGGAGAGGUAGGAAGACUUGUCUGUGACUUACAGAGGGAGAGGUAGGAAGACUUGUCUGUGACUUACAGAGGGAGAGGUAGGGAAAACUUGUCUGUGACUUACAGAGGGAGAAAUAGGGAGACUUGUCGGUGACUUACAGAGGUAGAGGUAGGAAGACUUGUCUGUGACUUACAGAGGGAGAGGUAGGAUAACUUGUCUGUGACUUACAGAGGGAGAGGUAGGAAGACUUGUCUGUGACUUACAGAGGGAGAGGUAGGAAGACUUGUCUGUGACUUACAGAGGGAGAGGUAGGAAGACUUGUCUGUGACUUACAGAGGGAGAGGUAGGAAGACUUGUCUGUGACUUACAGAGGGAGAGGUAGGAAGACUUGUCUGUGACUUACAGAGGGAGAGGUAGGGAAAACUUGUCUGUGACUUACAGAGGGAGAAAUAGGAAGACUUGUCUGUGAC
This is a long non-coding RNA of Oncorhynchus keta (chum salmon), 3026 nucleotides long. RefSeq lists it as uncharacterized. The transcript is spliced from 7 exons. The record is from RefSeq and is a predicted model, not a curated record. Lineage: Eukaryota; Metazoa; Chordata; Actinopteri; Salmoniformes; Salmonidae.